CUGCAGGUUAAGUUACAAUACAUCUGUGCAGUGUUGUGUUGUCGUUCCCCCUGCAAAAAAUAAAUUGCUUCCUACUAUCCCUGUCUUUUGACCCUACCCCAACAGACAGGGACGCUUGGUCUCAAACAU
RNAcentral lists this small nucleolar RNA (129 nucleotides) under Xenopus laevis (African clawed frog). RNAcentral's name for it is "Small nucleolar RNA SNORA63". It matches the Rfam family "Small nucleolar RNA SNORA63". Rfam says of the family: E3 belongs to the H/ACA class of snoRNAs and is involved in the processing of eukaryotic pre-rRNA and has regions of complementarity to 18S rRNA. Lineage: Eukaryota; Metazoa; Chordata; Amphibia; Anura; Pipidae. The record is from Rfam by way of RNAcentral.